Phalacrocorax carbo (great cormorant) is the source of this 1065-nucleotide non-coding RNA. The record is from RefSeq and is a predicted model, not a curated record. NCBI's taxonomy places the organism in Eukaryota, Metazoa, Chordata, Aves, Suliformes, Phalacrocoracidae.
UCUGGCAUCUCGAUGACCUCGUCAACCUCUACUUGGCCAUAAACCCACCCAAAUUGCCCCAAAAUUGGCUCUGGGUGGGGUCAUCGUGGUCACUCUGGCAUCUCGAUGACCUCGUCAACCUCUACUUGGCCAUAAAUUGACUUUAAAUGCCCCAAAAUCGAGUUUGGGUGAGGUUAGAACACUCCCAGGAGGGUCUUGAUGACCUUGUCAACCUCUACUUGGCCGUGAAUCAACCCAAAUUGCCCCAAAAUUUGGUCUAGCUGAGGUCAGAACGGUCCCAGAAGUGUCUUGAUGACCUCAUCAACCCCUACUUGGCCAUAAACCCCCCCAAAUUGCCCCAAAAUUGGCUCUGGGUGAGGUCAUCGUGGCCACUCUGGCAUCUCGAUGACCUCGUCAACCUCUACUUGGCCAUAAAUCCACCCAAAUUGCCCCAAAAUCGGGUUUGGGUGAGGUCAUCGUGGCCACUCUGGCAUCUCGAUGACCUCGUCAACCUCUACUUGGCCAUAAACCCACCCAAAUUGCCCCAAAAUGGGGUUUGGGUGAGGUCAUCGUGGCCACUCUGGCAUCUCGAUGACCUCAUCGACCUUUUCUUGGCCCUACAUUGGCUCUAAAGGCCCGUGAGUCCGGUUCCGAUGACGUCAUCGCGGCCUGGGCGCGGCCCUGCUGACCUCACCGCCCUCCCGCUGACCCCGUUGGGCAGCUGCCGCCCCGUUGGCCGGGGCCGCGUGACAUCAUCGCUGUCUCGAGGGCCUCGUUGAGCCCCGCCCCGAAGCCCCACCCCUAGGGGAGCGCCGCUAGAGGUGGCCCCACCCCCCCUUUGAGACCCCGCCCCGUCUCCCCCUAUAGAUCCCCUGCCCCAUAGGCCCCUCCCCUGGACCCCGCUCACCCCCUAUAGAGCCCCCCACCCCCUUUAGCCCCGCCCAAGCCCUGGAGACCCCUCCCCCACCCCCCACGAGCCCCUAUAGCCCCCAUAGGGCCCGGCCACACCCUCAGGGAACCCCACCCCCACCCCCUAUAUUUUUACCCCCUGCCCAGGGGACGAAUAAAAACUCUCGUUGAAUCGUG